AUUGAACGCUGGCGGCAUGCCUUACACAUGCAAGUCGAACGGCAGCACGGGAGCAAUCCUGGUGGCGAGCGGCGAACGGGUGAGUAAUGUAUCGGAACGUACCUUUCAGUGGGGGAUAACGUAGCGAAAGUUACGCUAAUACCGCAUAUUCUGUGUGCAGGAAAGCAGGGGAUCGCAAGACCUUGCGCUGAUUGAGCGGCCGAUAUCAGAUUAGCUAGUUGUGAGGUAGAGGCUCACCAAGGCGACGAUCUGUAGCGGGUCUGAGAGGAUGAUCCGCCACACUGGAACUGAGACACGGUCCAGACUCCUACGGGAGGCAGCAGUGGGGAAUUUUGGACAAUGGGGGCAACCCUGAUCCAGCCAUGCCGCGUGAGUGAAGAAGGCC
This 385-nucleotide ribosomal RNA is filed under the name uncultured bacterium. Its description in RNAcentral is "bacterial SSU rRNA". It matches the Rfam family "Bacterial small subunit ribosomal RNA", at positions 30 to 416 of the family's 1533-position model. The record is from RNAcentral.